RNAcentral lists this transfer RNA (74 nucleotides) under archaeon. RNAcentral describes it as "tRNA-Thr". It matches the Rfam family "tRNA". From Rfam's summary of the family: Transfer RNA (tRNA) molecules are approximately 80 nucleotides in length. Their secondary structure includes four short double-helical elements and three loops (D, anti-codon, and T loops). Further hydrogen bonds mediate the characteristic L-shaped molecular structure. tRNAs have two regions of fundamental functional importance: the anti-codon, which is responsible for specific mRNA codon recognition, and the 3' end, to which the tRNAs corresponding amino acid is attached (by aminoacyl-tRNA synthetases). tRNAs cope with the degeneracy of the genetic code in two manners: having more than one tRNA (with a specific anti-codon) for a particular amino acid; and 'wobble' base-pairing, i.e. permitting non-standard base-pairing at the 3rd anti-codon position. The record is from RNAcentral.
GCCUCGGUAGCUCAGCCUGGCAGAGCGAUUGCCUCGUAAGCAAUAGGUCGCGAGUUCAAAUCUCGCCCGAGGCU